UACUUAUAAAACUCCUUAAGCCCCCGUUUGGUUCGGGAUUAAGAAAAAGUAGCUAUUCCAGGGAUAAGAUUAAGUUCAGGGUUAAAAUGGUGUUAAAAUUUUUUUUUGUUUGGUUGGAGGUUGGAGUUAGUAUAGGAUAGUGAAAAAAAGUGUUUGGUUGGAGUAGGUGGGAUAAGAAGAUAAUGAUUGAUAAAGAAGAAAAAGGUGAGAGCUCGGGAUGCGUGCGGGGUUAAAGUUGGGAGGGGGAGUUGGGUUAAUGAUUGAUAAAGAAGAAAAAGGUGAGGGCUCGGGAUGCGUGCGGAAUUAAAGUUGGGAGGGGGAGUGGGGUUAGUAAACCCCACUAACCCGGUUUGGAGUGGGGUUUACUAACCCCACCCCAAAAGAGUGGUGUUUGGGUAUAAAUUAGGGGUUAAGGGGUUAUUCCACCCCUUAACCCCCAACCAAAC
This 446-nucleotide long non-coding RNA is filed under the name Ananas comosus (pineapple). Its description in RNAcentral is "long non-coding RNA (ACOM_LNC009550)". Lineage: Eukaryota; Viridiplantae; Streptophyta; Magnoliopsida; Poales; Bromeliaceae. The record is from RNAcentral.